RNAcentral lists this long non-coding RNA (307 nucleotides) under Nicotiana benthamiana. RNAcentral's name for it is "long non-coding RNA (NBEN_LNC013153)". The record is from RNAcentral. Lineage: Eukaryota; Viridiplantae; Streptophyta; Magnoliopsida; Solanales; Solanaceae.
UUUAUGUAGCCCUUCCUGCCACCUUUUACAUUUCCUACUUCUUGUAUGUAUCAACACUGCCACUUCCUUACAAAAUUGAUCUUCAUUAAAAGCCUUGUUCUCAAAUCUAAUAGAGUUCCUGUUCCUCCAUAUCAAUGCAACAGUAGUAACAAAAGCAGUUGCAGUAAUUGCCUGCUGCCAGUUUCUACUUCUAGCAUUCCUGCAUAUCCACUUUAGCUCAUCCUCCCAAGUGUUAGCUGCUUCCUGGUAACCUAUCCAAUUGCAGAUUCUGAGCCAUAAUCUGUUGGUAACUGGGCAUGCAAAAAAN